CAAUAGCGUAUAUUAAAGUUGUUGCAGUUAAAAAGCUCGUAGUUGAAUUUUUGCUUGCCGCCGAUGUCGGAACUUCCGUACGUUCGGCGGCGUGCAUCCUUGGGUGGAACCUGUGUGGCAUUAGGUUGUCGUGCAGGGGAUGCUCAUCGUUUACUGUGAAAAAAUUAGAGUGUUCAAAGCAGGCUUACGCCGUUGAAUAUAUUAGCAUGGAAUAAUAAGAUAGGACCUUGGUACUAUUUUGUUGGUUUGCGCACCGAGGUAAUGAUUAACAGGGACAGUUGGGGUUAGGGUUAGGGUUAGGGGUAUUCGUAUUCCAUUGUCAGAGGUGAAAUUCUUGGAUUUCUGGAAGACGAACUACUGCGAAAGCAUUUACCAAGGAUGUUUUCAUUA
This 390-nucleotide ribosomal RNA is filed under the name uncultured eukaryote. RNAcentral's name for it is "partial 18S ribosomal RNA". It matches the Rfam family "Eukaryotic small subunit ribosomal RNA", at positions 592 to 975 of the family's 1831-position model. The record is from RNAcentral.